GGAUGAACGCUGGCGGCGUGCCUAAUACAUGCAAGUCGAGCGAACGGACGAGAAUCUUGCUUCUCUGAUGUUAGCGGCGGACGGGUGAGUAACACGUGGAUAACCUACCUAUAUUACUGGGAUAACUUCGGGAAACCGGAGCUAAUACCGGAUAAUAUUUUUAACCGCAUGGUUCAAAAGUGAAAGACGGUCUUGCUGUCACUUAUAGAUGGAUCCGCGCUGCAUUAGCUAGUUGGUAAGGUAACGGCUUACCAAGGCAACGAAGCAUAGCCGACCUGAGAGGGUGAUCGGCCACACUGGAACUGAGACACGGUCCAGACUCCUACGGGAGGCAGCAGUAGGGAAUAUUCCGCAAUGGGCGAAAGCCUGACGGAGCAACGCCGCGUGAGUGAUGAAGGUCUUCGGAUCGUAAAACUCUGUUAUUAGGGAAGAAAAUAUGUGUAAGUAACUGUGCACAUCUUGACGGUACCUAAUCAGAAAGCCACGGCUAACUACGUG
Molecule: ribosomal RNA, 498 nt
Filed under: uncultured bacterium
Lineage: Bacteria
Description: partial 16S ribosomal RNA
Rfam family: Bacterial small subunit ribosomal RNA
Source: RNAcentral